GUCUGUUUGACUUCAAAAACAGUCUGGCCUGCCCACUGAGUAUUUUAAAGGCCGCGGUACCCUGACCGUGCGAAGGUAGCGUAAUAAUUAGUCUAUUAAUUGUAGACUAGAAUGAACGGUCGGACAAGAAAUAUACUGUCUUAGUUUUAAAUAUUGAAAUUAACUUUUAAGUGAAAAGGCUUAAAUAAUCCCGGGGGACGAUAAGACCCUAUAAAACUUCAUUUUUACCAGAUAAAUUAAUAACUAUUUGUACAAAAUAACAUAUCUGCGUACCUAUUGCGUUGGGGCGACGAGAGUAUAAUACAUAACUGCUCUUUCUUUAAACAAUAAUAUUUGCCCUAAUGAUCAUUUUUUAAGAUUUCAAGAAAAAGUUACUUUAGGGAUAACAGCGUUAUUUUUUUUAAGAGUCCUUAUCGACAAAAAAGAUUGCGACCUCGAUGUUGAAUUAAAACAUCCUUGCAGUGCAGCAGCUGCAAAGGAAGGUCUGUUCGACCUUUAAAUUUUUACAUGAUUU
RNAcentral lists this ribosomal RNA (514 nucleotides) under Gourretia sp. ULLZ. Its description in RNAcentral is "partial large subunit ribosomal RNA". It matches the Rfam family "Archaeal large subunit ribosomal RNA", at positions 1912 to 2675 of the family's 2987-position model. The record is from RNAcentral. Lineage: Eukaryota; Metazoa; Arthropoda; Malacostraca; Decapoda; Ctenochelidae.